Long non-coding RNA from Sinocyclocheilus anshuiensis, 232 nucleotides. RefSeq lists it as uncharacterized. The transcript has 3 exons. The record is from RefSeq and is a predicted model, not a curated record. NCBI's taxonomy places the organism in Eukaryota, Metazoa, Chordata, Actinopteri, Cypriniformes, Cyprinidae.
GCUCGCUAGAUUUGGACCAGAGCUGACAGGUUCUGGAACAUCUUUCAAUAACUAAUGAUGUCCAGCGUUAUUGCUUCAGCAGUAAUUUGACACAAAAGAAAAUGAGGUUGUGAGGGACAGAAAUGCACACUGGUAAGGCCCUGAUAUACAUGAAAAUGAAGAACGAAUGGGGUGUGACAUCAUUACAAACAAAAUCUGGUUUAUCUGGAGUUUGGUUCUGUGUCUCCAAACA